Non-coding RNA from Arvicanthis niloticus (Nile rat), 5122 nucleotides. The record is from RefSeq and is a predicted model, not a curated record. Lineage: Eukaryota; Metazoa; Chordata; Mammalia; Rodentia; Muridae.
GUGAUCUGAAGAAGGAAUUGAAGAGGCAACUCUUGCUUUCUGCCUGCUACUGUGUAGUGGCGGGCAAACAUGCAGCUAGCUACUCAACUUCCUGGCUCCCCCUCCCAGCCUCCUUUGCAUGGAGGGGUGUGCACCUUUGUCCAAUAGCUGCACAGAGGUCUGGCAGACAGGCUCGCAUGCAGGCUUGUUUUUAGAACCAGUGUGGCCACAAAAUGCCCUUUUGACACCGGGGGUUGGUGAUAUGUCUUUGGGGUUACCUGUUGCUAGGCAACUGCCAACUAAAGUUUGAGCUUGAUCUUGGGAUUGCAGUGAAUUGCCCUGGGUGACUUAUAUCUACAUUUAGGGACUUUGAUUUGCGGUAUUGGCCCAGGGAACAAGAGGCUGGGAAGACAUUCUUUUUUGUAGCCUGAGGUUUUUAAAAGUCCAGGCCAGUACCUGAUGCUUGGUUAGUAUAUACACAGAUGCUGAUUUUGGUGAUGAAAAUGGUCUUUCCUUCCUAGCUCUUUAAUAUUGGGGUGCACCUCUGCUCUCCAUCGUUCUGCCAGUCCUAAAAGCCUACCUACCCGUUUAUAUGUCAGGGACCCAGCUACAUGCAAGAGACAGUGAGGGAAACCAGAUCUCAACACUGUGGUUGGGUGUUCACACCACUCAGUGUUUGCUGGGCAUUUUCUGUUGACCUUUUUUGUGGCAGCCACAGACCUUUACAGAAAUCUCUGGAAAGCUGUGUCUCUGCUCUCUCGGAAUAGAUGUGUGAGCCUUUCUGGGGCUCACAGCCCUUGAUGAAUACAUCUGUGGAUACCCUUGGGUGACAGCCUCCGCAUGAGAGAUGUGGGUGAAUUUCUCUUCUACCUCAGCUCAGCUUCAUGAAGGCUGGGAUUAUAGGUGUGCACCACCACACCCGACUAAAAGGAUGCUCUGAAUCCCUGUGCGGAGGCAGCCCCCCCUUCAUCCUCUGACAUCUCAAUAAGCUUCUUAUGGCUGCUGUAGAUCAGUAGUUAAAUGGUCUUCUAGCCCCAGCCUACUUCCAGAUGCACUGUUUGCUUGAUCCCUCCAGACAGCUCAAGGGCUCCCUUUCCCCACUGUGACCUUUGAUGGCCCUCAGAGGGUGGUGCUGUCCACCAAGGGCCCUCAGUUCUGCACAUGCCUCUCCUCCUUCCAUCAUGGAGAUACUCUACUAUGGCUGGUUACAGUAAAAGGCUCUGGAAGGCAGUGACCGUGGCUGUGCUUUUUUGUCCCCAGGACCUCGCCUAGCUGUCACUUGGUGAAUAGCUGAGUGAAUGAAGCCGGGAGGCAGGCUUGGGGACCAGUUCUACAAGGAAGCCAUCGAGCACUGUCGGAGCUACAACUCGAGGCUGUGUGCGGAGCGGAGUGUGCGACUCCCCUUCUUGGACUCGCAGACUGGGGUGGCCCAGAACAACUGCUACAUCUGGAUGGAGAAGAGGCACAGAGGCCCAGGCCUUGCUCCGGGCCAGCUGUACACGUACCCUGCCCGCUGCUGGCGUAAGAAGCGACGAUUGCACCCACCAGAGGAUCCAAAGCUGCGACUCCUGGAAAUAAAACCUGAAGUAGAACUGCCCCUGAAGAAAGAUGGAUUUACCUCUGAGAGUACCACGCUGGAGGCCUUGCUUCGUGGUGAGGGAGUAGAGAAGAAGGUGGAUGUCAGAGAAGAGGAAAGCAUCCAGGAGAUACAGAGGGUUUUGGAAAAUGAUGAAAAUGUAGAAGAAGGGAACGAAGAGGAGGAUUUGGAAGAAGAUAUUCCCAAGCGCAAGAACAGGACCAGAGGACGGGCUCGUGGCUCUGCAGGCGGCAGGAGGAGGCAUGAUGCUGCCUCUCAGGAAGACCAUGACAAACCCUACGUCUGUGACAUCUGUGGCAAGCGCUACAAGAACCGGCCGGGACUCAGCUACCACUAUGCUCAUACUCACCUGGCCAGCGAGGAGGGAGAUGAAGCCCAAGACCAGGAGACCCGAUCCCCACCCAACCACAGAAAUGAGAACCAUAGACCCCAGAAAGGACCAGAUGGGACAGUCAUUCCUAAUAACUACUGUGACUUCUGCUUGGGGGGCUCUAACAUGAACAAGAAGAGUGGCAGGCCUGAAGAGCUGGUGUCCUGUGCAGACUGUGGACGCUCUGCUCAUUUGGGAGGAGAAGGCAGGAAGGAGAAGGAGGCAGCGUCCGCAGCACGUACCACGGAGGACUUAUUCGGUUCCACGUCAGAAAGUGACACCUCAACUUUCUACGGCUUUGAUGAGGACGAUUUGGAAGAGCCUCGCUCCUGUCGAGGAUGCCGCAGUGGCCGGGGUUCACCCACAGCAGAUAAAAAGGGCAGCUGCUGAGCGCAUGGGACAGACUGUCUGGCCGAUUAGCCGCCCCCUCCCCCAACUCUGGUCAUUGUUCUAGUUCUGAUAUAUAUUUUUAAAUGAAAGACAACUUGGGCAUUUCCCUUUAUCCUUGCCUUUUCCUUCUGCCUUCCACGUGUCCCUCCCCUCCUAGCAUCCUUCUAUUUUGGGUACCACAGAAGCACAAACUACUGAGAACCAGGGAAAAGGAGGAUGAGAGUCCUUUGGGGGAGUGAUGCCAUCAUGGUGGGCUCUUAUCCCUAGAAGUAGGAGAAAUUAAGUGGAUUUUCUUUCACUGGGGGAGGGCAUCUUUUUAACAUGAGCAGAGUUGAUUUCCUGUUUUCAAGAGAAGAGGAACAUGAGGUUUGAAAACAAAGAACAAAUAACAUUAACAAUAUUUAUUUAUAAAUAACUAUUAUUAGACUCAGAGAGGAGAGAGAGAGAGAGAGAGAGAGAGAGAGAGAGAGAGAGAGAGAGAGAGAAUGAAUGACCACUGGGUAUGUGUGUGUAUGGAGAAUUUCUUCAGUGGGAGUUGGUGACUCCACAGAGCAGACCCCUCCCCACGUCUCCUCCAUGACCUUUCCAUCUUCCUGCUUGUGUGAAAAUGGCAACCAUCCCAGAGAAGCCCGAGGCUACUUACAUCUGGCCUCCCUCCAGUGCUGGCCCAGAGCAACAGUGUCCGUUUCCCUCGGGCCCCUUUCCUCUUUCCUUGUUGCUGGGUUUCCCUCAUUUUCCUCCUGGCAAAGACCAGCUUCCGAAACACAGAAUGGAAUGUCAGCAAAUCACAGGCUCAGCUCUGACGGAGCAACUGAGGCCGGCGCUCCUGGAAGGAAGAGUGAUACUACACAGUGUAUCGCCCCUCCCUUCGCCCCGUGUAAGAACAUGUAACCGCUCACUGGAUGAUGACGUCUUCCAUAUUUCUUCUACUUUUUAUAGUGCCUGCCAGGCACUUUGUUUUAUCUUUCCAAUAGCAUCUCCUGAAAUAAACCAAAGCAGCACUUGGUCCGAGGCCUCAGGGAUAGAGAAGACUGUCCACCUCAUUGACAGUCCCUGAGAACAGAACAGCUGCGAGGCCCUGCUUAAACAGUCAGCUCUAUGAGCCAGGAACUGCAAAUCCUUCAAGCAAGCCAUUCCUGAAGAAGGUGAAGAGAAUCCAGAUGAUGAGCCUCUCCUCCUCCUCCUGCUCCGAUUCCUCUCUUGCCCAGCCCUUCUUGAGUGUGGAUCUUAACUAAUGCCAGAGUCGACAGGGAUGGAUCAGAUGGAAAGGCCUCCAGCUUCUCUCAGCUCAGCUCAGCCAAGUUUUGGAAAUGGCUCAAGUUUGUACAAUAAGAAGAUUUUAAUUUUCUAUUUUUCCCUUUUAAAUUCUUCAUUGCCUUUGUUUGGAAUGCCUGUGAGAAAGUACUCAGCCCAGGCUGGCAUUCGCUCUGCAAUACAAAUAACAACACAAACUGACAAAGACACAAAAAGCAAACUAUUUUAUUUAUUUCAAUAUUUAAAAGAAAAAGUGCUGCCAUUGCACAGUCUCUUGGUUUAAAAUACCGUCUACUUCAAAGGUUAAAAAAAAAAAAAAAAAGCAGUUUUGUGAAGACCUGAAUGAGAGUGCUUAGUGUAAAAUAAAGACGUCAUGGUGAUGUUAAAGAAAAGUAAAGACCCCACAUUUUUAAUAAGAAAAUAAAGAUCAACUCUGCUCUCUCAUGUUUUUGAGAAAGCCAUUCGUGUAUGUGCUUUAGGUAUUUUUUUUUUUUUUUAAAUUUUCUGCAAGUUGGAUGUGGUAGGUGAGGAGUGGUCAGUUCUUCUAAAGUCACUGAAAAGUAUUGUUGACAUUAAGUAAUUAUGUGUUAGGAUCUGAUGGAGAUAAAUUGGCCCCAAACCAGCAUUAUGUCCCCCUCCCAGCUGCCCCUCCCCUGAUAUGAACCCCAUUGAUCAGGAUGUAAAGCUACCUCCUCUUUAGCUCCUCUCCUGAGGCCUGAUUCAGGAAGGAAUUCUAUCCACUGAUUGAACGAGUUACUGCAAAGUUCAACAGCUCCAAACAGAAAUGUUUUGGUGAAAUGAACAAUGAACAAACACAUAACAGGAAUAAGCAGUGGCUGAAGGGACAUGGCUUAGUUAGCUAACAGCUGCUGGACUUGGCCAGGAGAACGCUCCGGAGAAGAUUUCAGAGGUCUGAGGGCCUAAAGUUGCUCCAUGACUGAGGAGUCAUUGGAAGGAUAGAAACUUGAAACUCAAGUCAUUUGUAGAGAGAAAUAGGAAGGUGAGCAUCACUAUGUGUGUCCUUUAUGGCUGUUAUGGCCAAUGAAGUGGAAUUCGGCAUUGUAUGCUUGACCUAGCCUAGGAGAUCAGCUGACUGUCUAGGCCACUGGGUUCUACCUCUUGGCUUCCACUUAGCUUGUCUAUUACGUGUCCAGAGCAGAGUCAUGGAUGGCAUGACUUAAGGCUUCAAAGCCUCGUCAGCAAAAGUCCUUGAGCCACAGUAUUAUUGAAGUGUCCAAGCCUGAGAAUAAAUCUCAUCUGCCAUUGAAAAAGGAAGGGUAGACAGGGAGACUUUCCAUUAAACCCUCCAGGUUUCCCAUUCAAGAGAAGGUGGACGUCACCAAGAAAGUCUUUCUAUCAUUUUCUGAUAGAAAAUGUCCCUUGUCAAAAAUGUUAAUUAUAAUAAUAAUCUGUUCUCCAACCCAUACUCACAAGUUAUGACAUGUCAAAUUGUGAUAAAGCUUUGCAAUCAUGUAGGGUUUGUGUGAAGUUUGUGUAAGUUUCUGUUAAAUAAAAGACUGUUUCCAAAGGUC